AUAUAUAUAUUUCUCAAUACACGACAUAUAAUAUCAUGCUUGUACAAAAAUCAUUAAUAAUUGUUUGUGCUUGCCACCUUUGGAUUCCCUAGUUGAAAAGGACUUGAAGCAUUCUUGUUAUUAUGGCCUUGCAGUUUUGUAUUCCCUUGAAGGACCAAUUUCAAUAAAUUGGUUUGUGUUUCACUUCAUCCUAUUUGGUAUUGCAUUUAAUUGUUACAAUUACUAUCCUUUGUCCUUAUCCGUAUUUGAUGUAACCAUGUUGGCUUUUUUGACCAAAUGAAGAUGAAGAAUAUGCCC
This 297-nucleotide long non-coding RNA is filed under the name Medicago truncatula (barrel medic). RNAcentral's name for it is "long non-coding RNA (MTRU_LNC001829)". Lineage: Eukaryota; Viridiplantae; Streptophyta; Magnoliopsida; Fabales; Fabaceae. The record is from RNAcentral.